GCACAACUGUGUCGUGUCUUAUGCAGCCUUCUAACCUCCUUAAGGAAACUUUACCAUAUAAUAGGAAAUUAGGUCAGUAGAUUGCAAAAGCUAUGGCACAAUUGUGCCAUGUUUUAUGCAAUCUUCUGAGCACUCAAAGGAGUUUUUAUUAAAAUUUUUUUUAAGUAAAUUAAAUUUUCAAAAUCCCUAAGUAGAAAAAGAUAAAAACCUAAAAAAAGUUUCUUUUCUCUUCUUCUUCCUCAAAGCAGCCACUCAUCUCUUUCUCUCUUCCCUUCUCUCCCUUCCUAUCCACCGUCGACCACCACCACACCCAAGCGGCACUGUCGAACUGGCGAUAGGCGACCAACCUCUAUCGCCGUUAGCCUCACUUCCACUAGAUUGCGGAGUGUCAACCCGCUUCCACCCAUCGCAUGCGUCAACAACCCCUCCAUCGCCGAACAACCUUUCUUCUUUCAAAUUGCGAGCCGACCAUCUUCUCCCUUUCCUGACUAGAUCGCGCCGGCCAGCAUCGUCCAGCUUCUUCCUCUUCAGAUCGCGGCGCGUCAGUGUGCAAAAUCCGCAUGUACACGGAAUCGCAACAAGUAAUAUAAUGAUGAAUAUUUUCUUUUAUAUGAGACAGAUCAAAUUUACAUUGAAGAAAUAAUUUAGGAAGAAGAAGAGGAGGAUACUCAAGAAGUAGAAGCUAUGGCUCAACAAAAAAAAUAGAACAAUUCGAGAUCUUGCUUAUCUUAGUUUUGGUGAUUUUUGGCCUAGUGUAGUGAGACCGAGGAUUGAUGCAAAUAAUUUUGAGUUAAAGUCGUCUUUAGUUCAAAUGGUACAACAAUCUCAUUUUAGUGGGCAAUCUACUGAGAACCCACAUCUACACUUGAGCAAUUUCAUGGAGAUAAGUGAUAUGAUCAAGCUUAAUGGAGUUUUUAAAGAUGCAAUCAGAUUGAGAAUUUUUCCAUUUUCAUUAAGAGAUAGAGCUAGAGAGUGGCUCAAUGCUUUGCCACUUGGAUCUAUUACCAGUUGAGAGCAGUUGUCACAGGCUUUUAUUGAGUAGUAUCUACUUCCAGGCAAGAUGGCUAAGUUGAGAACUGAGCUUACUUCUUUCACACCAAGGGAGGAUGAGUCUUUAUAUGAAGCUUGGAGUGAGAUAAGGAACUUCAAAGGAAGUGUCCUCAUCAUAGUAUACCAAAGUGGAUGAUAGUGCAACACUUUUACAAUGUCGUUUCUCCAAAUUUGAGAAGUGCGAUUGAUGAAGCUGUAAAAGGUGAUUUAAUGGGAAAAACUGAAGAUGAUGCUUUUGCUUGCUUGGACAAGAUAGCUUACAAAAACUACCAGUGGAAUAGUGAAAGAGCUCAUGUGAAGAGUGAAGCUAAGAAAGCUGCUAGAAUGUUUGAGAUUGAUGCCAUGUCAAUGAUCAAUGUCAUGUUGAUGCCUUAGCUAGAAGGAUGGAUAAGAUGACCAUGGGAAUGUAUGUUAAGAAUGUAAAUGCUAUGAAUGACAUGAGCUAUGGAGCAACCUUUGGGUAUGAAAAUCAAAGUUAGGGACAAGAUUUUUCAGCUUAGCAAAUCAAUUAUGUCAACAACUAUGGGCAAUGACACAUGGGUAAUCCAUACUCAAGCAUUUACAAUCAAGGGUGGAAGAAUCAUCCUAACUUCUCUUGGUCUGAACAAUCGAAGCAAAAUCAGAUUUUCAGCAACAAUUUCCUCCUCUACAAUAACACUUCUCAACAGGAAGAGUGUAACUAAUUUGGAUUAACCAUUUUCGAUCAAGUAGAAAAUGAUCUAAAAAGUUAUUUGGGUCAGUUUGGGCUGGGCUGUAGCAAUGGGUUUAGUUUUGGAUAUCUCCACGUCCGACCAUCUACCAAUUUUAAUUUUUAUAGGUAUAGAUUUUUGUUCCACGACAGCAGGCCCAUCUUUUUCAUUUUCAGAAUCAAUGGACUAGAGAAUUAGAUUUUUGAAACUUGUUGGACGAAUACAGUAACAGAGGAUAUGCAUCAUUAGCUUACUGUUUGUAGCAAAAAAAUUGGAUGAGUGGGGCUAGAAUUACAGGAACAAAUUUAAGGAAGGGACUGAGGAUUGUAGAACAUAGAUUCAUCGAUUGAAGGGUUGAAGAAUAGUUAGUGAUCGAUGAAAGUCCCUAUAUUGUAAAAACAUAUCGGCUGAACUUUUUGAAUAGGGGGAGCUUUUUUGGAAACAACGGGCAAAGGAAGCAUAGUUAAGGGAUGGUAAUUGUAAUACCCGGUUUUCCAUGUGAAAGCUACUGCCAAGUAGAAAACAGAGGCGGUAACUGGCAUGGGACACUGGGCUAAAUCAGGUAAUUUCUUAUUAUUGUGGCAAACUCUAUAGGUCACAAUCCUGUGCACCAAAUAGUGUUAUUAAUCUUGUCCCUAGAUGUGUCACAAAAGAGGAUAAUCAAAUACUGGAGGAGUUUUUUACUAGUGAUGAUAUACGAAAGGUACUGUUUAGUACGGGAAGUGACAAGUCACCUGGGAUUGAUGGAUUAAACCCUAGGUUUUUUCAAAAGUAUUGGGAUGUUAUUGGAGCCAAUGUCUAUUCUUUCUGUGCUUCAUGGGCUAUCUCAGGGACAUUUCCAAAGUCGUUAAAUCAGAUAAUCCUAGCACUUAUCCUAAAAAAAUAAAACUCGAAAUGUUUACCAAGAUGUUUGCUAACCGAUUGAAGCAUAUUUUGCCACAUAUUAUCUCUCUAACCUAGAGUGCAUUUGUGGCAAGACGACAUAUUCAAGAUAAUUUUGUGGUUGCUUUUGAAAUGCUUCAUUAUCUGAGAGCUAAAAGGAAUGGGAAGGUUGGAUAUUUAGUGCUAAAGAUCGAUAUUAGUAAAACAUAAGAUAGAUUGGAAUGGUCUUUUUUAAAAGCAAUAAUGCAGAAGAUGGGGUUUAGUGAUAAUGGGGUUGACUUGACGUUUCUGUAAGUUUCAACGAUUUCUUUUUAGGUUCUUCAACAAGAGAAUCUUAUUGGACUGAUUUUUUCAAGAAGGGGGUUGAGACAGGAAGAUCCCUUAAGUCCAUAUCUUUUCAUUAUCGGUGCAAAAGCUCUAUCCAUACUUAUUGAGACUCGAGUGGAAGGCAAUCAACUUCAGGAAAUCCUUGAUUUACUUUAGUCCUAAUACUGUUCAAACAACAAGGUCGAAUGUUUGCUCCAAGUUGCAGGUCGAGGAGCAUGAUGAUUUUGGAACAUAUUUGUGCCUUACUAUGAUUAUUGUCCGGAAAAAAAAAAGGUCUUUGAUUUUGUAAAGAAUAUACAAAAAAGAGGCCUUCCUAUGGCCAUUGGCCGAAACAAUUAGAUUACAUAUACAUCUUUUUUUUGUUUUUUUCUCGAAAUAGAUUGCGUUUACAUUUGUAAUGUGUACAGGUUGAAAGACCUAUGACUAAUACAUAUGCCAAAAUGCAAUGACCUCUAAAAUUUUUCC
This is a long non-coding RNA of Manihot esculenta (cassava), 3413 nucleotides long. RefSeq lists it as uncharacterized. The record is from RefSeq and is a predicted model, not a curated record. Lineage: Eukaryota; Viridiplantae; Streptophyta; Magnoliopsida; Malpighiales; Euphorbiaceae. The transcript is spliced from 2 exons.